CUUAAAAUCUAGUCUCUUUUGAGAUUCGAAUUGUAGUGUAAAUUAACAUUAAUAUGGUCAUGAUAAUUGCCUAAGUGUGAACAUCUGAAUUUCCUAUCAAAGACGGUGAUAAUCCGGUAUGGUAGUUUGAUUGGCUAAAUAUUCUUGUUAUUUAAAGAGUCGAGUUGUUUGGGAUUGCAACUCUAAUAAAGGUGAUAGAUUUCAUCUAAAGCUAAAUAUAUUAGGAAAACCGAUAGCAAAGAAGUACUGUGAAGGAAAGGUGAAAAGAACCUCGAAAGGGGGGGUCAAAAGCGCUCGAAAUCGUAGAGGGGGAAGCGGACCUGACCGACGAGACCUCGUCGUCGCUCGCGCUCGACCCACGCUUCGUCGCGGAGUUCCGGAGGGCUCGCCCCCGGAGCCGCGGCGCGGCGGGGGUCGGGAGGCGCUCGGCGGCGGGGCCGCUUGCGCGGGACCGGCGUCGCGCCGAACGAGAGGUCGCCUCGGCUCGCCCGAAAGGACGCGCCGGGGGGCCGCCCGGAGGCGCGGCGUCGGCCCGAGGGAGAAGGAGAUCGCAUCGACGGGGC
Molecule: ribosomal RNA, 563 nt
Filed under: uncultured bacterium
Lineage: Bacteria
Description: eukaryotic LSU rRNA
Rfam family: Eukaryotic large subunit ribosomal RNA
Source: RNAcentral